This 1380-nucleotide long non-coding RNA is filed under the name Sinocyclocheilus anshuiensis. Its description in RNAcentral is "lncRNA (ENSSANG00000006752.1)". Lineage: Eukaryota; Metazoa; Chordata; Actinopteri; Cypriniformes; Cyprinidae. The record is from RNAcentral.
CUCAGUCAGGAUCGACUUCCUACGAUGCUUGAGUCAGCACAUGCGCAGUAGUUCGCCGAAAGUAUCGCUGAUCGGAGACGGAGCGCCUCGGCAGAUGAACGAGCCGAUCGACUGCGCGAGACGCGACGAGGUAUGAUUCAUAACCAGUAAAGUCAUGGAUGAAACAUUGGAUUUUUGACAUUUCAUGCAACCCAAGCUCUUCAUAACUUUUUGAGAUGAAAUUUAUACUUCCAAUUUCUAUGGACUACAAAGGUAUUUUUCCUAUUUAAAAAUGUGAGCUGGCGGUUCAACAUCCGAACUCUUCCUUGCAUGGCUUAAAACCAUUGGUCUCGCAAAUCUACUAGUAAUACAGAGGCCUCAAGGCCAGAGAACGGGAUCAGAUAUGACGGAUGAGUUGAACAGGGCCUCAGCUGAACCGGAGAUGACGAAACCAGAAGAGACUGUGCCGAUUGAAGCAGACGACGUUACUGACGAUGUGGAUAAUGCAGUGGGGAACAACAUGCCUGGAAAGGUGACGCCCGAAUCGCCACCUGAUUGGCUGAAGCCAAUGGAGGGGGAUGAAGAUGAUGGUGGUGAGGGUGUCAAGAGCAGUGAACGGAUCAUUAUGAAGACCAAUGAUGACGUUCCAAAAGUAAAGCGACGCAGAGGUCGGCCUCCGAUUGCCAGAAAUGUUAGACAUGGACUUACUCGUUUAGAUUUCAAGAAAGGAUUGCAUGCAGAUCUCCCUAAAACUAAGACUGUUCGUUCUCUACCGGAAAGAACGCGUUCAAGUCCCACAUCAGGAACUGCCAUUCCUGUCCCAGAUCCACCCCGCACGCCUGAGGUUUUACCCAGAAAACCCCAGAGCAUCAUUCACAACUCGACAGCAACAUCUCAAAGACCCCGACUCAUGCCCGUCUCACCUGCAGGGGGCAGCAGCCUCUCCAAGACCCCCAACGCCGAAUUUCACAGCCCUCCGCGCCUCACAAGGGUCUCGCCGCUCAGUAUCGACACAUUGGUGACACGGAAUUUCGUUCACUCUCCAGCUGUAAAAGUGGGUAAUGUUUCCCAACAGAUUGUUUCCUCUACUGAACCUGGGAAAGAUGGCACUGAACCGCCCCUUCGACUCUGGCUUUGUCCUUCUCUGGAGCCCAUUAGCCCUACAAAAACGCAGGAUACGUUCUCAGAUCAGAUUGUAAAUUCACCAAAUUUUCCGGAGACUACACUUAAUGGAACAGUGACCCUAAAGGAAAGUCUUUCUCUGCUCAGUGAAUGUGAAAGCUGUGGCUGCCAAUUUCCUGCUCAGAAGAUCGGAGACAUAAUGUGCUACAGAUGUAGGCCUAAAUGUAUGUGAAUUUGUAAUUACACCCUUCAUUUCAGCCAGCAGCAGAGGAUAAGUAU